Molecule: ribosomal RNA, 301 nt
Filed under: uncultured bacterium
Lineage: Bacteria
Description: partial 16S ribosomal RNA
Rfam family: Bacterial small subunit ribosomal RNA
Source: RNAcentral
CAGUCGCCACGGUAAUGCGAAGGGGGCUAGCGUUGUGCGGAAUCACUGGGCGUAAGGGGUGCGUAGGCGGAUUCUUAAGUCAGGGGUGAAAUCCCGAGGCUCAACCUCGGAACUGCCUUUGAUACUGGGGAUCUUGAGUCCGGAAGAGGUGAGUGGAACUGCGAGUGUAGAGGUGAAAUUCGUAGAUAUUCGCAAGAACACCGGUGGCGAAGGCGGCUCACUGGUCCGGAACUGACGCUGAGGCACGACAGCGUGGGGAGCAAACAGGAUUAGAUACCCCGGUAGUCCCUGUCUCUUAUAC